GUGAAUCAUCAAAUCUUUGAACGCAAAUUGCACUCUCUGGCAUUCCGGAGAGUAUGCCUGUUUGAGGGUCAGUUUAAAUAAAAAUCGAGGUGUUGCUGUUUUGUGACCCACCGGAAUUGGGUUUUCUUGGACCUUUUAAAAAGUUAAAGUGACUUAAAUUUGAUACUUGUUGAAUCUCAGACGUACUAAAGAUU
RNAcentral lists this unclassified non-coding RNA (194 nucleotides) under Glomeraceae sp. RNAcentral's name for it is "partial contains 5.8S ribosomal RNA and internal transcribed spacer 2". The stretch from base 1 to 71 matches the Rfam family "5.8S ribosomal RNA", at positions 84 to 154 of the family's 154-position model. The record is from RNAcentral. Lineage: Eukaryota; Fungi; Glomeromycota; Glomeromycetes; Glomerales; Glomeraceae.